This 253-nucleotide ribosomal RNA is filed under the name uncultured bacterium. RNAcentral's name for it is "partial 16S ribosomal RNA". It matches the Rfam family "Bacterial small subunit ribosomal RNA", at positions 524 to 776 of the family's 1533-position model. The record is from RNAcentral.
UACGGAAGGGGCUCGCGUUGUUCGGAAUUACUCGGCGUAAAGCGUACGAACGCGGAUCAGUCAGUCAGGGGUGAAAUCCCGGGGCUCAACCCCGGAACUGCCUUUGAUACUGCUGGUCUGGAGGUCGAGAGAGGUGAGUGGAAUUCCGAGUGUAGAGGUGAAAUUCGUAGAUAUUCGGAGGAACACCAGUGGCGAAGGCGGCUCACCGGCUCGAUUGUGACGCUGAGUUGCGAAAGCGUGGGGAGCAAACAGG